RNAcentral lists this non-coding RNA (848 nucleotides) under Cicer arietinum (chickpea). RNAcentral describes it as "Eukaryotic large subunit ribosomal RNA". It matches the Rfam family "Eukaryotic large subunit ribosomal RNA", at positions 1061 to 1888 of the family's 3401-position model. The record is from Rfam by way of RNAcentral. Lineage: Eukaryota; Viridiplantae; Streptophyta; Magnoliopsida; Fabales; Fabaceae.
AUCUAGAAAUAAUCAUUAUCUUAAGUCAUUUAAAGCUACAACCAAUUACACCAAAUUGCCCACCUUUAGAACAAUCAAACAAACAAAAGAUACUCUACCUUUGUUGUUUUUUGUUAGGAGAAUUGGCGAUCUAGGACAAACUGGGUACUAGGUUAUGGUUCCCAACUGCGCGCUAACCUAAACCCCACAAAUGGUGUUGGUCGAUUAAGACAGGAGGACAAUGGUCAUGAAAGUCGAAAUUCGCUAAGGAGUAUGUAAAAAGUCACCCGUUGAAUCAACUAGCCCCGAAAAUGGAUGGUGCUAAAGUGUGCAAUCUAUACCCGACUGUUUGGGCAAGGGCUAAGCCCUGAUGAGUAGGAAGGUGCGUCGGUCACUGCAAAACUUGGGGCGUAAGCUUGGGAAAAGCGAUUGUCAGUGCAGAUCUUGGUGGUAGUAGAAAAUAUUUAAAUGAAAACUUUGAGGGGAAAGGUUCCUUGUGAACGAAACUUGCGCAAAGGUAAGUCGAUCCUAAGGGACGAGAGAAGUUCGUCUAAUAGCGCUCUAAGCGCGUACGCCGAAAGGGAAUCAGGCUAAAACUCCUUAAUUGGGACAUGGUGGCUAACAGAAAUGUUAGGGAGUUUGGAGACGUUGGCAGAGGCCUUGGAAAGAGUUACCUUUUCUAUUUAACAGCUUGCCCACCCUAGAAACGACUCAUCCAGAGGUAGGGCCCAACAGUUGGAAGAUCAUCGCACGUCACAUGGUAUCCGAUAUGCCCAUGGCAACCCUUGAUAAUCCGAAGGACCGAGUGUCUUUCAUGCCCAAUCAAACUCAUUACUCCAUCAAAGCUCCAAGGUGAACAACCUCAGGUC